GCUACGGGGUGCAGCAGUGAGGAAUAUUGGUCAAUGGGCGCGAGCCUGAACCAGCCAAGUAGCGUGAAGGAUGACUGCCCUACUGGUUGUAAACUUCUUUUAUAAAGGAGUAAAGUGAGGCACGUGUGCCUUUUUAUAUGUACUUUAUGAAUAAUGAUCGGCUACCUCCGUGCCAGCAGCCGCGGUAAUACGGAGGAUCCGAGCGUUAUCAGGAUUUAUUGGGUUUAAAGGGAGCGUAGAUGGGUUGUUAAGUCAGUUGGGAAAGUUUGCGGCUCAACCGUAAAAUUGAAAUGGAUACUGGCAGCCUUGAGUACAGUUGAGGUAGGCGGAAUUCGUGGUGUAGCGGUGAAAUGCUUAGA
Molecule: ribosomal RNA, 359 nt
Filed under: uncultured bacterium
Lineage: Bacteria
Description: partial 16S ribosomal RNA
Rfam family: Bacterial small subunit ribosomal RNA
Source: RNAcentral